Capsicum annuum is the source of this 301-nucleotide long non-coding RNA. RefSeq lists it as uncharacterized. The transcript is spliced from 3 exons. Lineage: Eukaryota; Viridiplantae; Streptophyta; Magnoliopsida; Solanales; Solanaceae. The record is from RefSeq and is a predicted model, not a curated record.
CACAGGUACCAGGAUGGAGGUCGACUAUCAGAUCAGCAGAUGGCGUUGCUGCAAUAUCAGCAAGAAAAUAUACACUUUUUAAGUGAGGAGUAUGUAGAAGAAAACGCGAGACUCAGAGCUAUUCUGGGAGAAUGGAGCAACCGAGCAGCUAAGCUCGAACGUGCAUUAGAGCUGGAACGGAUGUCAAACUUGGAACUGCAGAAAAAAAUGACCACACUGAAGACUCAAACGCGUGAAUAGUUCAGCCCCACUAGCAAGGUUAGCAAGUGGUUUCUACUUUAGCAGUUGAGCAACAAACAUG